Molecule: long non-coding RNA, 384 nt
Organism: Patella vulgata (common limpet)
Lineage: Eukaryota; Metazoa; Mollusca; Gastropoda; Patellidae
Exons: 3
Source: RefSeq, a predicted model, not a curated record
CGACGAUUUUAACUGAAUCAGCGUGGAUAUCCUUGGUCUUGUUGAGCAAUGAGUCCUAUCCAACUGUCAUCAGGUCUUUGGGCUAUGGCGCAGCCAACACAAUGGCUCGAUUUGGUGGCAUCCUGGCUCCUUUUAUUUUUAGCCUGGGAAGUAACAGAAUGGUACCUUAUAUUAUAUUGGCUGUUAUGUUGGUAUCUAGUGGUAUCUGCGCUUUGUUACAGAAGGAAACCAGGGGGUUGGCUUUAGAGGACCUUAUUGAGACAGUUGCCGAGGAAUACGAAAGAAAAUACAGAAAGAAAUCUAGUAUUUACAACAUUAGCUCAGAAUCAAACAGGACGAUAAGUCAAGUUGGAGAACAAAUCAGCAGCCUAUCACAAAAUACAA